Molecule: ribosomal RNA, 414 nt
Filed under: Triticum aestivum (bread wheat)
Lineage: Eukaryota; Viridiplantae; Streptophyta; Magnoliopsida; Poales; Poaceae
Description: partial small subunit ribosomal RNA
Source: RNAcentral
CCCUAUUCCUCGGGGGGGAGCUUGGGAUCGUCGGGGUUCUCGAAAGGGGGGAGGAGGAGCACGACAACGAAGGAGAGGGAGCGAGCAAGAGCGGGAGACGUAGAACGACUGCGACGGCAGCGGCGCGUGUCGAGCUUGGGGCGCCGGUGGCCGGAAGGGAGCUACACGGUGGUUCAGGUCGGUGAGGGGGAAGCGGGAGAUGUGGCAGUCCACGUAGGGCAACCUCAACCCUCGGAGACGUGGCUGGGGAAGAAGAUGGAGCCCUGCGGCCGGCGGUAGUAGUCUAAGCGGCGGCAGUUCGGGAGGGGCUGAAGUGGCUGAGGAGGCGACGUUGGUGCUGUAGCUCCGGUUGCGGCGACGAUGGCUCAUGCUGAUGCCACAACUACUGGGGAGAGAGAACGAUCUCGUUGGUCC